Molecule: ribosomal RNA, 928 nt
Filed under: Halichondria panicea
Lineage: Eukaryota; Metazoa; Porifera; Demospongiae; Suberitida; Halichondriidae
Description: SSU rRNA
Rfam family: Eukaryotic small subunit ribosomal RNA
Source: RNAcentral
AACCUGGUUGAUCCUGCCAGUAGUCAUAUGCUUGUCUCAAAGACUAAGCCAUGCAUGUCUAAGUAUAAACGCUUCUAUACUGUGAAACUGCGAAUGGCUCAUUAAAUCAGUUAUAGUUUAUUUGAUGGUUUCUUACUACUUGGAUAACCGUGGUAAUUCUAGAGCUAAUACAUGCACAAAGUCCCGACUCUUCGGAAGGGAUGUAUUUAUUAGAUCCAAAACCAAUGCGAGUCUCUCGGGGCUCGGUUUCUUGGUGAUUCAUGAUAACUGCUCGAACCGUAUGGCCCUUGCGCCGACGGUGCUUCAUUCAAAUUUCUGCCCUAUCAACUUUCGAUGGUACGGUAGUGGCCUACCAUGGUUGCAACGGGUGACGGAGAAUUAGGGUUCGAUUCCGGAGAGGGAGCCUGAGAAACGGCUACCACAUCCAAGGAAGGCAGCAGGCGCGCAAAUUACCCAAUCCCGACUCGGGGAGGUAGUGACAAUAAAUAACAAUGCCGGGCUAUUGUAGUCUGGCAAUUGGAAUGAGUACAAUCUAAAUCCCUUAACGAGGAACAAUUGGAGGGCAAGUCUGGUGCCAGCAGCCGCGGUAAUUCCAGCUCCAAUAGCGUAUAUUAAAGUUGUUGCAGUUAAAAAGCUCGUAGUUGGAUUUCGGGGUGGCCUGCCUGGUCCACCGCAAGGUGAGUACUGGUCAGCCGCCCUUCCUCUCGAAAGCCCCGACUGCUCUUCACUGCAGUGGUCGGGUAGUUCGGGACGUUUACUUUGAAAAAAUUAGAGUGUUCAAGGCAGGCUAUCGCCUGAAUACAUUAGCAUGGAAUAAUGGAAGAGGACCUCGGUCCUAUUUUGUUGGUUUCUAGGGCCGAAGUAAUGAUUAAGAGGGACAGUUUGGGGGCAUUCGUAUUUAAUUGUCAGACGUGAAUUUCUUGGGAUU